AUUAACAAAAUAUGGCAUGAACAACUUCCAGGAAUAUCUUCGUAUGCUCAAAAUUUAACAUCCCUGGAUUUAAAGGACUGUCACGACUUGAAACGUAUAUUUGGUUACUCGAUGGUGGAAUUUUUAGUGCAACUCAAAGAGCUUUUUAUUGCUAAUUGUAAGAAUGUGGAAGAAGUAAUCUCUGUAGACGGAUUCGCGGAAGCAGAAAGCUUGAGCCAAAUAUUAUGUUUCCCUAAACUAGAAAUAUUGGUGCUCGAUGACCUUCCCAAACUCAGACGAUUCUGCUAUGGAAAUUACUUUGAAUUCCCCUUCUUGAUAGGAUUUAGAAUAAAGAAGUGUUCUGCAUUGAAGACUUUCAUCUCUGGUUUUGCAAUUGAAAAUGAAACUCAGAUUGCUCAAAGAGGCGUAGAAGAUAACAGCACAGCGGUUGAUGAUUCCCUGUCUCUCUUCAAUGAAAAGGUGGCAUUCCCAAGUUUAGAGAGAUUGACGAUCAUAGGUGGGGGAAGCUGGCGAAAUAUAUGCCAUGACCAAUUCCAUAGGGAUUCAUUUUGCAAACUAAAUCUUCUUUGGGUGCACGACUGUGAUAGACUUUUGUAUGUUUUCCCAUUUGAUAUGAGGGGACGGCUUGAAAAGCUAGAGGAGAUGGGGAUAAGCUGUUGUGAUUCCUUGGAAGAAAUAUUUGAACCUCAAGGGCUCAAUGUCAGUGAAUUACAGGCCGUGACAACCAAUCAAUCCGUUAGAUUUGUAUUUCCUAACCUACAAAUUCUACGACUUUCUAUGCUACCCAAAUUGAAGAGUUUCUGUUCCAGGAUACACACUGCAGAAUGGCCUUCAUUGAAGAAAAUGUGUGUAUAUGGAUGUGACAAAGUGGAGAUAUUUGCUUCAGAAAAUCUGAAUUUUGGAGAAACAUCAAUUAAUCAACAAUCCCUGUUUUGGGUAAAUGAGGUUACAUUCCCCAAUCUAGAAGAAUUAGAAUUGGAAUGGAAUGACACUAUGAAAGAGAUAUGGCACGGACAACUUCCCGAAAAGUUUUUUUGCAAACUUAAAGUACUUAAGCUUGUAUUUUUUCUUGAAGAAUCAGCUGCCCUCCCGCAUUGUUUCAUUCAGUCAUUACCAAAUCUUGAGAAGCUUGUAGUGAAAUGUGCGCCCUUCAAUCACAUAUUCCAAUGUGAAGGACAUGGCGACGAGGAAAGACAUGGAUUAGCAAUGACUCAGUUGAUUAAAUUAAAGUUAGUUAAACUGCCAGAGCUAGCACACAUAUGGAAGGAAGAAUUUCAGCCUAGAGCAGCUUUCUUUAACCUAAGAACUCUUGAAGUGCAGGAAUGUGGUAAAUUGAAGAAUUUAGUGCCAUCAUCUGUGUCAUUUGCAAAUUUAACAACUCUCGAAGUAUCAAAAUGUCAUGGAUUAAUAAACCUAAUAUCAAGCUCAACGGCUAAGAGCCUAAUGCAACUCACAAAAAUGAGUGUGAUUGAUUGCCUGAUGAUAGAGGAAAUAAUAGCAGCAAUGGUGAUGGCGGUGGCAUUGUUUUCGCCCAACUUAAGUUUUUGCAACUAAGUCGUUUACCAAGUCUAGCAAGCUUUUGCUUGGAAGCUCACAUCUUUGAAUUCCCAGCCUUGGAGAAAUUGGUUGUGAAAGAAUGCCCAAAUAUGGAGACUUUCUGUCAAGGAGAUUUAAGCACUCCAAAACUGCAUCAAGUCCAUUUGACAGAUGAUGAUGAAGAUGAAGAAAACGUGCGGUGGGAAGGCAACCUCCAGACUACCAUCCAAAAACUGUUCGACGAAAUGCAAAAGGGUACAGGUGGACAAUUUCCAUUGUUGGAUCCCUCAAACGAUGAACAUCUGAGAUUAGUGAUUAUCCGCCUGUUCAGGAGGAUGUGUAGAAUGGAGCGUGAAUUUCAAGUUUUUAGAGAAAAUACCAACACCAACAAUGAUAAGAUUGGACACUGGAAAUGGAUAUCUCUGUUUUUGGUGGGUGUCAUUGUGAUUAUUCUGUUUUUGGUGUGUGUUAUUGUGAUGCUGUUGUUCAGAAUGAAAUGAAGAAAUUAAAGACAUUAUGAUAGGGAGGAAACUAAGAAACUAUGAAUUUAGGUUAAAUCUAAUGCCUCUGUUUAAUGUGAUAUAGUUUUUUUUGGCUUUUAGGAUGUUUAGGUUAUGGUUUGCAUCUUUUUUUUUUAAACUAUAUCUAGGGGCAUUCAGUGUAACUAUUUAUUUUUAAGUGCAUUAGUUUAACGAUGUAAUUACCAAUAUUUUUUGCAUUCUAACCUAAUAGCAUACACCUGAUG
Durio zibethinus is the source of this 2281-nucleotide non-coding RNA. The record is from RefSeq and is a predicted model, not a curated record. Lineage: Eukaryota; Viridiplantae; Streptophyta; Magnoliopsida; Malvales; Malvaceae.